GCAACCAAGAACACUCCACCAUUGAAAGACAUGAGCGCUAGCAUCACCAAGAAUGAGAGACCAACCCUCAGAAGGUGUAUAACUGUCUGAACCAAACCGGCCACAAAAUGGUUCGAACCGGGUUUAACGAACCAUGUGCUAGAGAGCAAUUCAACUAGGAAGGACAUGACAAAGAUAAAUACCAAGGCUAAGACAUACAUACCAGUUUUAUCACCAGGCCAGUGAUUAAAAAGAAUCUCUGAAUCCUUCCCCCAGAAGAAGGUCAUGUGCAUGAAAUGCUUCUUCAUAUGUGGCAUGGCCAUGUUCCCAUUCGCGGAUGGCUCCAUACCAUGCAUCCCUCCCAUAUCAUGCAUGUGUCCAUCCAUCAAGAAUUAUGGUGUUUUGCUAAUCGUUCGUUAAUUACAGUCUUGGUUUAUGUAAUGAAAUAAUUGGAGAUUAUAGUAUGAAAAUGUGUACUGUGAUGAUAGAGUGCAGCAGUGGUGAAAUCCGAAAAUGUGUAUUUAGGGUAUUGUAGUGGAAUAAUAUUGCAAUUAAGAUGGUGCAUUUAUGGAAUUGGUUGAUGUAUGCGGUGAAAGCGUAGUGGCCACAAGAUAAGAAGAUAGUUGUGUACAGUGCGACUCAGUCCACACAAUUGAUGCUAAUAUCGGUGAGAAUCUCACGCCUUUCCUUAUCUGUUAAUUGUGCUCAUAUAUACGCAUAAUUUUGGUAACAAAAUCAGAUCAAUAUAUUAAUUACUAAUGCAAUUUAUUUAUGACAAAAAACGUAACCAUUGACGUUUAAGAGUUUUACCGUUUAUAUUUUAUCAUUCGUUAUCAAAUUCUUCAAAACAUAAUAUAAAUAAAUUAUAGAUAAUAUAUUAAAUGUAUAUAAAUAUUUAUUAUGAUAAUAUAUAUAUUAUACUUUUUAUUUUUUUAAGAAUAUAAUAUAUACAUAUAAUCAAUAUAUCAUCUAAAAUAUAUUCAAAAGUAAAAAUAAUUACAUGAAUCCUAAGUGAUAAUGAUCAAUGAUUUAAUUUAUAGUCCAUUUAUAUUUUUGGGUCGAUUGAUCCUCCUAUCAGUGGCUGUAGAGUGUAGACUACCAUGAGUAUUAAAAAAACUGUGUAACACGUAAGUACAUCAGUUAUGCUUUUGUUUAAUUUCAAGUCCUAUCCUGAAAUCUAUUUGGGCCAUUGCAUAUAUAUAGUGUAUAUACACACACAUAUAUACAUAUAUGUAUGUAUAUAUAUCUGUGUAAGUGAUGAGUAUGUUCUCAUAGACCAUAGCUCUUUACAAGCAAUCAAUAAUAAUAAUCAUUAACACUAUAGGAAAUGUAAAAUAAUUCAACCCAAAAUCAUAAAUUAACUUUUCUUUAGGUUUCUUUUUGACAAACUUAUGAUAGAACACCAAAGAAGAAAGUAUCUAAUACAUUAUUCAACUCCCAUAUAAUUUGGUGGAUGAGGUAAAAACAAGUGAUACAAAAUUUUUUUGUAUUGAUACAGGAAAAAGGUUCCGCAAUUUCACUUUUUGUAUCGGAAACGAGUUGAAUGAGAACUCAGUUUAGUAAAACUCAACUCAAGUUUAAUAACAAUUAAUUUUUAACUCAAAUAAGUGUUCCUUCAAUUCAAAUUGAUUCGACAUUACAUGCAAAUUUGUUGGUUUGUCUGUUUUUUCUAGCCAAUCUACCCAUCAAACCUGCGAGGGCUUAAUGUUAUUUAAAAGUAAAAUAAAAUUCAAAUAAACUAUAAUAUAACGUGAUUUAACAACUUGAAAUUUUGAUGAUAGCUAGAUUUGUUCACUUCAUAUCACAUAUCAACAUUUUUUUAAUUCUCUUUCUUAAACUUCUUUGCCUAAGGCAGUAGAAUUUGCCAAAAAAUGAUUAACGGACCAAUACUCACUAUUGAUUUGUGGGCACGAACUAAUAAACGUGUAGCUUGACCCAUUUUGAUAUACGUACUAAUCUGAACCAUCUUAUUAUUUUAAACAGAAGGAGGCAAAAAUUUCAUAACGUUUAUAUGCUUUCUAGGACUGAAGACAAGCUUUGAUUUAAAGAUGAGAAGAAAAAUCAUUGCAAAUGUAACAGUUUUUUUGUUUUUGUUUUUAGUAUAACAUACAUUCAUCACUCAUAUUUAAUACAUACAAGAAUCAUUUGAAUGAUAUAAUCAACAUAUGAAAAACUUUACACUUGCAUAGAUAUUAGGAUAGUUUGAAAUAAUUCUUACUAACAUAAGACUAAUUAAAACACCGAAACUAAUUAACAAUGCAUUGGAGGAAGAUCAAAAUCCUUAUUGUUUUCCUUUUUCUUGAAAGCAUUACUACGAAAGAUAAAGAACCCCAAAGCAUGACCAACCACAGCAACCAAGAACACUCCACCGUUGAAAGACAUGAGCGCUAGCAUCACCAAGAAUGAGAGACCAACCCUCAGAAGGUGUAUAACUGUCUGAACCAGACCGGCCGCAAAAUGGUUCGAACCGGGUUUAACGAAUCGCGUGCUAGAGAGUAAUUCAACUAGGAAUGACAUUACAAAUACAAACACCAACGCCAAUACGUACAUACCAGUUUUAUCACCAGGCCACUGAUCGAAGAGAAUCUCUGAAUCCUUCCCCCAGAAAAAGGUCAUGUGCAUGAAAUGCUUCUUCUUAUGUGGCAUGGACAUGUUUCCAUUCGUGGAUGGCUCCAUCCCAUGCAUGUGCCCAUCCAUCAAGAAUUAAGGGUGUUUUGCUAAGCGUUCGUUAAUUACAGCCUUGGUUUUUAUAGUGAAGUAAUUGGAGAAUGUACUAUAUAUGAAAAUGUGUACUAUGAUAUAGUGCAGCAGUGGCGAAUUAUGGAAAUUUGUAUAUAGGGUAUUGUACUGCAGUAAUAUUGCAAUUAAGAUGCUGCAUUUAUGGAAUUGGUUGAUGAAUCAUGAAUGUGGCCACAAGCUAAGGAGAUAGUUGUGUUCUUGUGGAGUGUGUGACUUAGUCCACACAAGUGUGCGGAAUAUCUGUGCGAAUCUCACGCCUUUCCUUAUCUGCUGUGGUGAUGCGCAUAAUUUUGAUAACAAAAUCAUUUCGAUAAAUUAAUUACUGAUAUAAUUAUAUGUAGAACACAUAAAAUCAUAGUUUUUUAAAUUGUUCUCUUAUACUUUUUUUUAUUUACAUUUACAUAGUACAUCAGUGUAAAACUGUUGUCCAAACAAAAUAGACAGCAAUUUUGUUUUUGAAUUUAUUCUUUACCUUUAAAAUAUGGUGUUUAAAUUGCCUAUUAAACAAUGACAUAUUUAUAUUUGACCACCGUUUUUGUGUGGGUAGCAUUUUAUGUAAAACUGUUCUCCUAGCUUUUAAAGUCUUUUAUUGAUAAAAUUACUUCAUUACACAAAAUUGUUCCCCUAUAUCUUUAUAUUAAAGAUCUGAAGGGGCAAUUACAUUUUAAAGUCUUUUGAAGCAAAUAAGAGUUUCUUCUCUUCCCUUAAUAUUCUUGUGUCAUCUUCUGGCUAUUAUUGCCUCACGACGUCACUCCCAUUAAUCAUUACCAUACAAAUUCACUUCAUCCUCAUUAAUCAUUGUUGUAGAUUUGUAGUUGUAACUGAAGAUAUGAAUAUAUUUAUUUCAAUUGUAUGUUUAGUAUGAGUUACAAUUUGAGCUAUAUUUUUGUUAGUUGUAUUCAUAUCUUCACAUAUUAAACACAAAUACAGUUCAAAUUGUAAUCGACACUCAACAUACUUGCAUAUAAAUAAUUAUAAUCAAUAACUCUCAAUUGUAAUAUAUCCACCAUUAACUCAUACUAAACAUACUUUAAUUCCAUUUAUACUAAACAUACUUUCAUUUAAUUAUAUUUCAGUAUAUUAAAGCUAUACGUAUUAAACAUUCAAUAAUUGAGAUGCUAAACAUAUAUUUUAGUUAAUCUAUAUAUUUAAAAUAUUAUAAUCUAAAAAUAUUUAAAAUAUUUUAAAGUAUUAUAAAAACAUUAUAUUUUAUAUAUUAAAAAUAUUAUAAAAACCAUUAUAUGUCAUAUAUUUAAAAUAUUAUUUGAAGUACAAUAGAUUAAUCUAAACAUUAAAAUAUUUAUAUAUAAAAUCCAUUAUAUUUGUCAUUUAAUCAUAUAUAUUAAAUAUUUUAGUAUGUUUAGUGUAUUAAUUCAUUGAAUGGGUCAAAUGAUUUUAUAUGCCAAUGAAACAAUUAUUUCAUAUGUUUUUGAGCUAUUUUUGAAAUAGCUCUGAAAAAUAUGAUAAAUUAUUACACUGGUAGAUAUGAAUGAACUGAAGACUUAGAUGAUCAAUUUAAGUAUAAUAACUCAAAAAGGUAAAUCCAUACUAGAUUACCAGUCGGAUCACUAACGGCCGACUUUCGUUCCUGCUCGACGGGUAGGUCUUGCAAUCAAGCUCCCUUCUAUCCUUUCACUUGAGAGCUAAUCUCUUACUUAAACAUCUUUGCCCAAGGCAGUAGAAUUUGUCCAAAAUUCAUAAACUGACCAACUCUCACUAUUGAUCUGUGGGCAGAACUAACUAGUAAACAUGUUGGGUGACUGUACUGAUCCAUACCAUCUUAUUUUGAACUCAAGGAGCCAACAUUUCAUAUCCUUUAUAUGCUAUCUAGGGCUGAAGAUAAGCAUUGAAUUAAAGAUGAGAAAUUUUUUUAUUGAAAAUGUAUUAGUUUUUUUAUAUUUUUAGUACAAUAUUCAUCAUUCAUGUCUAAUACACAAAUAAAUAAUUUGAAUAGUAUGAUGAGUAUAUGAAAAACUUUACACUAUCUUAGAUAUUAUUGUAGUUUGAAAUACAUCUUAUUAGCAUAAGACUAAUUAAAACACCGAAACUGAUUAACAAUGCAUGGGCGGAAGAUCAACAUCGUUAUUGUAUUCUUUUUUCUUGAAAGCAUUGCUACCAAAGAUAAAGAACCCUAAAGCAUGACCAACCACAGCAACCAAGAACACUCCACCAUUGAAAGACAUGAGCGCUAGCAUCACCAAGAAUGAGAGACCAACCCUCAGAAGGUGUAUAACUGUCUGAACCAGACCGGCCACAAAAUGGUUCGAACCGGAUUUAAUAAAGCGCGUGCUAGAGAGCAAUUCAACUAGGAAGGACAUUACGAAGACAAACACCAAGGCCAAGACAUACAUGCCAGUUUUAUCACCAGGCCACUGAUCGAAAAGAAUCUCUGAAUCCUUCCCCCAGAAGAAGGUCAUGUGCAUGAAAUGCUUCUUCAUAUGUGGCAUGGCCAUGUUCCCAUUCGCGGAUGGCUCCAUCCCAUGCAU
RNAcentral lists this long non-coding RNA (5204 nucleotides) under Lupinus angustifolius (narrow-leaved blue lupine). RNAcentral's name for it is "long non-coding RNA (LANG_LNC001468)". Lineage: Eukaryota; Viridiplantae; Streptophyta; Magnoliopsida; Fabales; Fabaceae. The record is from RNAcentral.